UGGGGAAUUUUGGACAAUGGGCGAAAGCCUGAUCCAGCAAUGCCGCGUGUGUGAAGAAGGCCUUCGGGUUGUAAAGCACUUUUGUCCGGAAAGAAAUCCUUGGCUCUAAUACAGUCGGGGGAUGACGGUACCGGAAGAAUAAGCACCGGCUAACUACGUGCCAGCAGCCGCGGUAAUACGUAGGGUGCAAGCGUUAAUCGGAAUUACUGGGCGUAAAGCGUGCGCAGGCGGUUUGCUAAGACCGAUGUGAAAUCCCCGGGCUCAACCUGGGAACUGCAUUGGUGACUGGCAGGCUAGAGUAUGGCAGAGGGGGGUAGAAUUCCACGUGUAGCAGUGAAAUGCGUAGAGAUGUGGAGAAUACCGAUGGCGAAGGCAGCCCCCUGGGCCAAUACUGACGCUCAUGCACGAAAGCGUGGGGAGCAAACAGGAUUAGAUACCCUGGUAGUCCACGCCCUAAACGAUGUCAACUAGUUGUUGGGGAUUCAUUUCCUUAGUAACGUAGCUAACGCGUGAAGUUGACCGCCUGGGGAGUACGGUCGCAAGAUUAAAACUUAAAGGAAUUGACGGGGUCAUAGCUGUUUCCU
RNAcentral lists this ribosomal RNA (584 nucleotides) under uncultured bacterium. RNAcentral describes it as "partial 16S ribosomal RNA". It matches the Rfam family "Bacterial small subunit ribosomal RNA", at positions 355 to 1375 of the family's 1533-position model. The record is from RNAcentral.